Long non-coding RNA from Alosa alosa (allis shad), 394 nucleotides. RefSeq lists it as uncharacterized. The record is from RefSeq and is a predicted model, not a curated record. Lineage: Eukaryota; Metazoa; Chordata; Actinopteri; Clupeiformes; Clupeidae. The transcript is spliced from 3 exons.
GAACAUGACUGUACACCAAGAGCCAAGAAGAGUCAUACUAGUGGAUAUUUUCUUAGCUGGUACAUGGUUGCGCUGAACCCUCUCGACGUCAACUUUUAUCGGCUGGAUUCUAGCAUCUAACGUUACGAUUGCCUCUGUUGGGUUUGCUUGAUCAACCAUCGUUUCGGGGACUCUGAUGACAGUGAAGAGCCAGAAAAUGGUGACUGCAUCUCUGAGGUACCUUCCAACUCGCCUGGUAUAUCAGUUGAAGCCUCAAGCCCAAGCCAAUUGCACUGGCAAAGUAAGUAAUAAUCUCUUAACAUUGAAAUAACUAAAUCAUAAUAUUAAUAUUAGAGAUAUGGUUAACAUUCUUAGUGCUAAAGACAUUCCCCUCUCUUUGUAUCUAUUCCUCCAG